AGCCGGUCAUAGCGUUGGGGUGCGACCUAGUCCCAUUCCGAACCUAGAAGUCAAACCCAAUGUCGCUACCGUGUUACUGACGUGCGAGAGCUGUUGGGAAGUGGUAGUGCUGGCAUUUAU
This 120-nucleotide ribosomal RNA is filed under the name uncultured marine thaumarchaeote KM3_45_A02. RNAcentral also lists the same sequence under 1 other name. The record is from RNAcentral. Lineage: Archaea; Thermoproteati; Nitrososphaerota.